This 94-nucleotide transfer RNA is filed under the name Armillaria solidipes. It matches the Rfam family "tRNA". From Rfam's summary of the family: Transfer RNA (tRNA) molecules are approximately 80 nucleotides in length. Their secondary structure includes four short double-helical elements and three loops (D, anti-codon, and T loops). Further hydrogen bonds mediate the characteristic L-shaped molecular structure. tRNAs have two regions of fundamental functional importance: the anti-codon, which is responsible for specific mRNA codon recognition, and the 3' end, to which the tRNAs corresponding amino acid is attached (by aminoacyl-tRNA synthetases). tRNAs cope with the degeneracy of the genetic code in two manners: having more than one tRNA (with a specific anti-codon) for a particular amino acid; and 'wobble' base-pairing, i.e. permitting non-standard base-pairing at the 3rd anti-codon position. Lineage: Eukaryota; Fungi; Basidiomycota; Agaricomycetes; Agaricales; Physalacriaceae. The record is from Rfam by way of RNAcentral.
GCCCGCAUAGCUCAGUGGUAGAGCAUUGUACUUAUGAGGAUAAUUUGAUUCACGCGAUAUGCAAGGGUCUCCAGUUCGAUCCUGGGUGGGGGCA